ACCCGUGCAUCAAANUAGACAGGGCUACCUCGUGCUACAAUGGACGGUACAAAGAGCUGCAAGACCGCGAGUGGNAGCUAAUCUCAUAAAACCGUUCUCAGUUCGGAUUGUAGGCUGCAACUCGCCUACAUGAAGCUGGAAUCGCUAGUAAUCGCGGAUCAGCAUGCCGCGGUGAAUACGUUCCCGGGCCUUGUACACACCGCCCGUCACACCACGAGAGUUUGUAACACCCGAAGUCGGUGGGGUAACCUUUUUGGAGCCAGCCGCCUAAGGUGGGACAGAUGAUUGGGGUGAAGUCGUAACAAGUUAGCCGUAUCGGAAGGUGCGGUUGAAUCACCUCUUAA
This 344-nucleotide ribosomal RNA is filed under the name Bacillus sp. SH2. RNAcentral's name for it is "bacterial SSU rRNA". It matches the Rfam family "Bacterial small subunit ribosomal RNA", at positions 1191 to 1533 of the family's 1533-position model. Lineage: Bacteria; Bacillati; Bacillota; Bacilli; Caryophanales; Bacillaceae. The record is from RNAcentral.